Molecule: ribosomal RNA, 153 nt
Filed under: Agarum clathratum
Lineage: Eukaryota; Phaeophyceae; Laminariales; Agaraceae
Description: 5.8S ribosomal RNA
Rfam family: 5.8S ribosomal RNA
About the family: 5.8S ribosomal RNA (5.8S rRNA) is a component of the large subunit of the eukaryotic ribosome. It is transcribed by RNA polymerase I as part of the 45S precursor that also contains 18S and 28S rRNA. Functionally, it is thought that 5.8S rRNA may be involved in ribosome translocation.
Source: RNAcentral
ACUUUCAGCGACGGAUGUCUUGGCUCCCACAACGAUGAAGAACGCAGCGAAAUGCGAUACGUCUUGCGACUUGCAGAGUCCAGUGAAUCAUCAAAACUUUGAACGCAUCUUGCGCUUCCGGGAUACUCCUGGGAGCAUGCUUGUCGGAGUGUC